UUAAGCUAAGAAACGAAUUCUCUCUCUCUCACGUCCGAAACCACCCAAAACAGAGCAAAACUUCUCCAAACUCUCUCUCACUCCACCGGCCACCAAUCAAGACCAGAACACUUCCUAUAGCUUCGCCUCGACCUUGCGCAGCUGCAGGUGGCAGCCUUGAACCACGACACGGCCACCAGCGGCGGCGGGAAGCUCCGCCCGGUUUGAGCUCGUUUUGGUUCCAAGCUUGAUAUCUCAAGCUACCGGCCAACAAUCCUCACCAAACUUCACCCACGAGCUCGCCUCAACGUCCUGAAGCUCCCAGAAGUGGCCUUGCACGGCGGCGCUACUCGUGGUGGCGGCUGGAAGCCAGACCCGAUCAAAUCGAAAACCGAAGCUUCGAUCGGUAUAUCUCGAGCUGUAGUGCAUCGUUUUGAUUGAUUCUUUUUCCAGUGGGUUCCCCUUGAUGUUGUUAACAACUCUCUAGAAGGCAUCGAGGCCUGAAAUUGAAGUUUUUACGUCGAUCGGAGCCCUCGCCGGAUUCUGCAAAAUUCUGCAAAUUUUCCGACCACCGAAGCUUUCGAUCGGUAUAUCUCGAGCUACAGACCAUAUUUUUCUGUGAUUCUUGAACCAAUGCGUUCGUCUUGAGUUUCUUAACAACUCUCUAGAAGGAAUCGAAGCCUGAAAUUGAAGUUUUGACGUCGAAAUCAAGCCUUGCCGGAUUCUGCAAAUUUCGCCGGAUUCUGGAAAUUUUCCGGCCACCUCGACUGUUCUAGGUUAUUGACGGUUUGAGUUGGUGGACGAUUGUGGAUCGUAUUUUGAGCUGAAUUGAAGACGCAGCGGGAUUAUCGAGCGGGAAAUCCUACAGGUCAGGAGAACCAGGACGGUGAUCGGGCUGCUUAGAGUAGUGUUAUGUGAAUUACAGCAUUAUAUUGUGAGGUUUGUUAUGCUCAUUUAGAGCUUUGCAAUUUUACUUUGUAAGAGUGAAUUGUAAUAAUUAACUCGAGGUUUUCGAGUUUUUGUGUUGAGUGGCGAGUGGUGUGUUUGUUUGUGAGAAAAAAAUUCAGAACGUAUUUGUAUUAAUUGUUUAUUCAUGUUUCGGAUUUGAAUUGGUUAUUCAAAAUUCGGGGCGUGACAGUUUGGUAUCAGAGCGUAAGGUACAUAUUUGGUGAUAAUCAGUACCUCCCGAGUGAUGGCCCGUCUGCAGCGGAUCCCCAUCAUAUACUCUUCGGUACUGGUAUAAUCAU
Molecule: long non-coding RNA, 1226 nt
Organism: Rosa rugosa (rugosa rose)
Lineage: Eukaryota; Viridiplantae; Streptophyta; Magnoliopsida; Rosales; Rosaceae
Exons: 3
Source: RefSeq, a predicted model, not a curated record